RNAcentral lists this ribosomal RNA (2940 nucleotides) under Priestia megaterium. RNAcentral describes it as "bacterial LSU rRNA". It matches the Rfam family "Bacterial large subunit ribosomal RNA". The record is from RNAcentral. RNAcentral also lists the same sequence under 3 other names. Lineage: Bacteria; Bacillati; Bacillota; Bacilli; Caryophanales; Bacillaceae.
AUGGUUAAGUUAGAAAGGGCGCACGGUGAAUGCCUUGGCACUAGGAGCCGAUGAAGGACGGGACUAACACCGAUAUGCUUCGGGGAGCUGUAAGUGAGCUUUGAUCCGGAGAUUUCCGAAUGGGGAAACCCACUGUUCGUAAUGGAACAGUAUCUUUAUCUGAAUACAUAGGAUAUUGAAGGCAGACCCGGGGAACUGAAACAUCUAAGUACCCGGAGGAAGAGAAAGCAAAUGCGAUUUCCUGAGUAGCGGCGAGCGAAACGGAAUUAGCCCAAACCAAGAGGCUUGCCUCUUGGGGUUGUAGGACACUCUAUACGGAGUUACAAAGGAACGAAGUAAAUGAAGCGACCUGGAAAGGUCCGUCGAAGAAGGUAACAACCCUGUAGUUGAAACUUCGUUCCCUCUUGAGUGGAUCCUGAGUACGGCGGAACACGUGAAAUUCCGUCGGAAGCUGGGAGGACCAUCUCCCAAGGCUAAAUACUACCUAGUGACCGAUAGUGAACCAGUACCGUGAGGGAAAGGUGAAAAGCACCCCGGAAGGGGAGUGAAAGAGAUCCUGAAACCGUGUGCCUACAAGUAGUCAGAGCCCGUUAACGGGUGAUGGCGUGCCUUUUGUAGAAUGAACCGGCGAGUUACGAUCCCAUGCAAGGUUAAGCUGAUAAGGCGGAGCCGUAGCGAAAGCGAGUCUGAAUAGGGCGUUUAGUAUGUGGUUGUAGACCCGAAACCAGGUGAUCUACCCAUGUCCAGGGUGAAGUUCAGGUAACACUGAAUGGAGGCCCGAACCCACGCACGUUGAAAAGUGCGGGGAUGAGGUGUGGGUAGCGGAGAAAUUCCAAUCGAACCUGGAGAUAGCUGGUUCUCUCCGAAAUAGCUUUAGGGCUAGCCUCAUGUUGUGAGAGUCUUGGAGGUAGAGCACUGAUUGGACUAGGGGCCCCCAACGGGUUACCGAAUUCAGUCAAACUCCGAAUGCCAAAGACUUAUCCAUGGGAGUCAGACUGCGAGUGAUAAGAUCCGUAGUCAAAAGGGAAACAGCCCAGACCACCAGCUAAGGUCCCCAAGUAUACGUUAAGUGGAAAAGGAUGUGGAGUUGCUUAGACAACCAGGAUGUUGGCUUAGAAGCAGCCACCAUUUAAAGAGUGCGUAAUAGCUCACUGGUCGAGUGACUCUGCGCCGAAAAUGUACCGGGGCUAAACGUAUCACCGAAGCUGUGGAUUGACAUCUUUGAUGUCAGUGGUAGGAGAGCGUUCUAAGUGCUGUGAAGUCAGACCGUAAGGACUGGUGGAGCGCUUAGAAGUGAGAAUGCCGGUAUGAGUAGCGAAAGACAAGUGAGAAUCUUGUCCACCGAAUGCCUAAGGUUUCCUGAGGAAGGCUCGUCCGCUCAGGGUUAGUCGGGACCUAAGCCGAGGCUGAAAAGCGUAGGCGAUGGCCAACAGGUUGAUAUUCCUGUACCACCUCCCCGCCGUUUGAGUAAUGGGGGGACGCAGUAGGAUAGGGUAAGCGCGCUGCUGGAUAUGCGCGUUCAAGCAGUUAGGCUGAUGAGUAGGCAAAUCCGCUCAUCAUAAAGGCUGAGCUGUGAUGACGAGGGAAUUAUAGUACCGAAGUUCCUGAUUCCACACUGCCAAGAAAAGCCUCUAGCGAGGCGGGAGGUGCCCGUACCGCAAACCGACACAGGUAGGCGAGGAGAGAAUCCUAAGGUGAUCGAGAGAACUCUCGUUAAGGAACUCGGCAAAAUGACCCCGUAACUUCGGGAGAAGGGGUGCUCUGGUAGGGUGUAUAGCCCGAGAGAGCCGCAGUGAAUAGGCCCAGGCGACUGUUUAGCAAAAACACAGGUCUCUGCGAAGCCGCAAGGCGAAGUAUAGGGGCUGACGCCUGCCCGGUGCUGGAAGGUUAAGAGGAGGGGUUAUCCUUUGGGAGAAGCUCUGAAUCGAAGCCCCAGUAAACGGCGGCCGUAACUAUAACGGUCCUAAGGUAGCGAAAUUCCUUGUCGGGUAAGUUCCGACCCGCACGAAAGGCGUAACGAUCUGGGCACUGUCUCAACGAGAGACUCGGUGAAAUUAUAGUACCUGUGAAGAUGCAGGUUACCCGCGACAGGACGGAAAGACCCCGUGGAGCUUUACUGUAGCCUGAUAUUGAAUUUUGGUACAGCUUGUACAGGAUAGGUAGGAGCCUGAGAAGCCGGAGCGCUAGCUUCGGUGGAGGCGUCGGUGGGAUACUACCCUGGCUGUAUUGAAAUUCUAACCCGCGGCCCUGAUCGGGCCGGGAGACAGUGUCAGGUGGGCAGUUUGACUGGGGCGGUCGCCUCCUAAAAUGUAACGGAGGCGCCCAAAGGUUCCCUCAGAAUGGUUGGAAAUCAUUCGUAGAGUGUAAAGGCACAAGGGAGCUUGACUGCGAGACCUACAAGUCGAGCAGGGACGAAAGUCGGGCUUAGUGAUCCGGUGGUUCCGCAUGGAAGGGCCAUCGCUCAACGGAUAAAAGCUACCCCGGGGAUAACAGGCUUAUCUCCCCCAAGAGUCCACAUCGACGGGGAGGUUUGGCACCUCGAUGUCGGCUCAUCGCAUCCUGGGGCUGUAGUCGGUCCCAAGGGUUGGGCUGUUCGCCCAUUAAAGCGGUACGCGAGCUGGGUUCAGAACGUCGUGAGACAGUUCGGUCCCUAUCCGUCGUGGGCGUAGGAAAUUUGAGAGGAGCUGUCCUUAGUACGAGAGGACCGGGAUGGACACACCGCUGGUGUACCAGUUGUCUUGCCAAAGGCAUCGCUGGGUAGCUAUGUGUGGACGGGAUAAGUGCUGAAAGCAUCUAAGCAUGAAGCCCCCCUCAAGAUGAGAUUUCCCAUAGCGCAAGCUAGUAAGAUCCCUGAAAGAUGAUCAGGUUGAUAGGUCAGAGGUGGAAGCGUGGCGACAUGUGUAGCUGACUGAUACUAAUCGAUCGAGGACUUAACCAAAC